Non-coding RNA from Cordylochernes scorpioides, 75 nucleotides. Lineage: Eukaryota; Metazoa; Arthropoda; Arachnida; Pseudoscorpiones; Chernetidae. The record is from the annotation of a GenBank genome assembly.
UGUCAAGGGAUGGGAAUCGAACCCACGUCCUUCCGCUUACUGGGCAGAUGCCAUGACCACUAGGCUACCCUGGAC